GAUGAACGCUGGCGGCGUGCCUAAUACAUGCAAGUCGAGCGAACAGACGAGGAGCUUGCUCCUCUGACGUUAGCGGCGGACGGGUGAGUAACACGUGGAUAACCUACCUAUAAGACUGGGAUAACUUCGGGAAACCGGAGCUAAUACCGGAUAAUAUAUUGAACCGCAUGGUUCAAUAGUGAAAGACGGUUUUGCUGUCACUUAUAGAUGGAUCCGCGCCGCAUUAGCUAGUUGGUAAGGUAACGGCCUACCAAGGCAACGAUGCGUAGCCGACCUGAGAGGGUGAUCGGCCACACUGGAACUGAGACACGGUCCAGACUCCUACGGGAGGCAGCAGUAGGGAAUCUUCCGCAAUGGGCGAAAGCUUGACGGAGCAACGCCGCGUGAGUAAUGAAGGUCUUCGGAUCGUAAAACUCUGUUAUUAGGGAAGAACAAAUGUGUAAGUAACUAUGCACGUCUUGACGGUACCUAAUCAGAAAGCCACGGCUAACUACGUG
RNAcentral lists this ribosomal RNA (497 nucleotides) under uncultured bacterium. RNAcentral's name for it is "partial 16S ribosomal RNA". It matches the Rfam family "Bacterial small subunit ribosomal RNA", at positions 28 to 507 of the family's 1533-position model. The record is from RNAcentral.